AGUGAACGCUGGCGGCGUGCCUAAUACAUGCAAGUCGAACGGAGUGGCGCACGGGUGAGUAAUAUAUAGCUAAUCUGCCCCUUGCUGGAGGACACCAGUUAGAAAUGACUGCUAAUCCUCCUUAGCAAGGGAUGAGACUAUAUCGUAUCAGCUAGUCGGUGGGGUAACGGCCGACCGAGGCGAUGACGCGUAACUGGUCUGAGAGGAUGAUCAGUAAAAUUCGAAGUGAGACACGGUCCAGACACCUACGGGAAGCGGCAGUAGGGAAUAUUACGCAAUGGGGGAAACCCUGACGCGGCAUCGCGGCGUGGAGGACGACACUCUUCGGAGCAUAGACUCAUGUUGUUAGGUAAGCGGUACCUGACGAAUAAGCACCGGCUAACUCCGUGCCAGCAGCCGCGGUAAUUC
Molecule: ribosomal RNA, 408 nt
Filed under: uncultured bacterium
Lineage: Bacteria
Description: partial 16S ribosomal RNA
Rfam family: Bacterial small subunit ribosomal RNA
Source: RNAcentral